AUGAACGCUGGCGGCGUGCCUAAUACAUGCAAGUCGAGCGAACAGACGAGGAGCUUGCUCCUCUGACGUUAGCGGCGGACGGGUGAGUAACACGUGGAUAACCUACCUAUAAGACUGGGAUAACUUCGGGAAACCGGAGCUAAUACCGGAUAAUAUAUUGAACCGCAUGGUUCAAUAGUGAAAGACGGUUUUGCUGUCACUUAUAGAUGGAUCCGCGCCGCAUUAGCUAGUUGGUAAGGUAACGGCUUACCAAGGCAACGACGCGUAGCCGACCUGAGAGGGUGAUCGGCCACACUGGAACUGAGACACGGUCCAGACUCCUACGGGAGGCAGCAGUAGGGAAUCUUCCGCAAAGGGCGAAAGCCUGACGGAGCAACGCCGCGUGAGUGAUGAAGGUCUUCGGAUCGUAAAACUCUGUUAUUAGGGAAGAACAAAUGUGUAAGUAACUAUGCACGUCUUGACGGUACCUAAUCAGAAAGCCACGGCUAACUACGUG
Molecule: ribosomal RNA, 496 nt
Filed under: uncultured bacterium
Lineage: Bacteria
Description: partial 16S ribosomal RNA
Rfam family: Bacterial small subunit ribosomal RNA
Source: RNAcentral